Molecule: long non-coding RNA, 405 nt
Organism: Mus musculus (house mouse)
Lineage: Eukaryota; Metazoa; Chordata; Mammalia; Rodentia; Muridae
Product: predicted gene, 39583
Exons: 3
Source: RefSeq, a predicted model, not a curated record
UAGAGAGCUCUACACAGCCAGUGCCUUGGCACAACAGCUCCCCAGUUGCUGUUGUUCUUUUCUUUAAAGAUGGCUUUGAAUCCUGCUUCCCUUCCUGUCGAGUGACUCCAGGAGUCACCUCUGAUUCUGCUUUGGGAAUCCCACUGACACUGGGGCUUCACAGGAGUCUGCGAGAACAGAUGGUUCGUUGGCCAGCCUGAAUUACAUUGAAGAGUGUCCACAUCAUCCAGAAGAGAUGAGCAUCCUAGAGAGCACUGAGGAGAAGGAAAGCUGUUGUUGGUCCUGAUGAGUUUCAUAUGGGUGCAAGUUUUCCUGUGAGGUAAUCACCUUCCUGUGAGAUGGUAGAAUGUUCCAGAAGUCAGAAACAUGAUGCACUUCCGUACUUUUGAUGAGUUAUAUAUGCAA